AGUGAACGCUGGCGGUAGGCCUAACACAUGCAAGUCGAACGGCAGCACAGUAAGAGCUUGCUCUUACGGGUGGCGAGUGGCGGACGGGUGAGGAAUACAUCGGAAUCUACUUUUUCGUGGGGGAUAACGUAGGGAAACUUACGCUAAUACCGCAUACGACCUACGGGUGAAAGCAGGGGAUCUUCGGACCUUGCGCGAUUGAAUGAGCCGAUGUCGGAUUAGCUAGUUGGCGGGGUAAAGGCCCACCAAGGCGACGAUCCGUAGCUGGUCUGAGAGGAUGAUCAGCCACACUGGAGCGGAGACACGGUCCAGACUCCUACGGGAGGCACCAGUGGGGAAUAUUGGACAAUGGGCGCAAGCCUGAUCCAGCCAGACCGCGUGGGUGAAGAAGGCCUUCGGGUUGUAAAGCCCUUUUGUUGGGAAAGAAAAGCAGCAGGUUAAUACCCCGCUGUUCUGACGGUACCCAAAGAAUAAGCACCGGCUAACUUCGUG
RNAcentral lists this ribosomal RNA (492 nucleotides) under uncultured bacterium. RNAcentral describes it as "partial 16S ribosomal RNA". It matches the Rfam family "Bacterial small subunit ribosomal RNA", at positions 29 to 507 of the family's 1533-position model. The record is from RNAcentral.